GAUGAACGCUGGCGGCGUGCCUAAUACAUGCAAGUCGAACGAACAGACGAGGCGCUUGUUGGUCUGACGUGAGCGGCAGAGGGGAGAGAAACGCGUGGAUAACGCACCUAUCAGUCUGGGAAAACUACGGAAAACGGGCGAUAAUCCGGGAGGAGAUCCUGAACCGCGGGGGUGGAUGGUGAGAGUCGGCGGUUCGGGAUGGUAUCGAGGGUUAUGAGCUUGUUGGGGGGGUAGUGGCGUUCAAAGGUUUCGAAGGGUAGGCGGCGUGGGAGGGGGAACGGCCACAUUGGGACUGAGAUACGGACCAGACGCCUACGGGAGGCAGCAGGGGGGAAUAUUGCAGAAUGGGCGGAAGCCUGAUGCAGCAACGCCGCGUGCGGGAUGACGGCCUUCGGGUUGUAAACCGCUUUCGCCUGUGACGAAGCGUGAGUGACGGUAAUGGGUAAAGAAGCACCGGCUAACUACGUG
Molecule: ribosomal RNA, 468 nt
Filed under: uncultured bacterium
Lineage: Bacteria
Description: partial 16S ribosomal RNA
Rfam family: Bacterial small subunit ribosomal RNA
Source: RNAcentral